This 62-nucleotide small RNA is filed under the name Lysinibacillus sp. AC-3. RNAcentral's name for it is "Bacillaceae-1 RNA". It matches the Rfam family "Bacillaceae-1 RNA". Lineage: Bacteria; Bacillati; Bacillota; Bacilli; Caryophanales; Bacillaceae. The record is from RNAcentral.
AAUAGAGGAACUCAGGCUAAGAACUUCACAUCCUGUGAAAACGCCUGACCUAAAGCCUCCGG